This 391-nucleotide unclassified non-coding RNA is filed under the name soil metagenome. RNAcentral describes it as "partial contains 5.8S ribosomal RNA, internal transcribed spacer 2, and large subunit ribosomal RNA". The stretch from base 1 to 122 matches the Rfam family "5.8S ribosomal RNA", at positions 35 to 154 of the family's 154-position model. The record is from RNAcentral.
GAUGAAGAACGUAGUGAAAUGCGAUACUUGGUGUGAAUUGCAGAAUCCCGCGAAUCAUCGAGUUUUUGAACGCAAGUUGCGCCCGAAGCCAUUCGGCCGAGGACACGUCUGCCUGGGUGUCACGCAUCGUUGCCCCCCCCAAACUUCGGUUCGGGCGGGGCAGAAGUUGGCCUCCCGUGCGUGCCUGCGCGUGCGGUUAGCCCAAAAGCGAGUCUUCGGCGACGAGCGCCACGAAAAUCGGUGGUUUUUUUGCCCUCGUUCCUCGUCGUGCGUGCCCCGUCGCCCGAACGCGCUCUUGCGACCUUCACGCGUCGUCUCGGUGGCGCUCCCAACGCGACCCCAGGUCAGGCGGGACUACCCGCUGAGUUUAAGCAUAUCAAUAAGCGGAGGA